UACAGAGGGUGCGAGCGUUAAUCGGAAUUACUGGGCGUAAAGCGUGCGCAGGCGGUUUUGUAGGCCAGAUGUGAAAUCCCCGGGCUUAACCUGGGAAUGGCAUUCGGGACUGCAAGGCUGGAGUGCGGCAGAGGAGACUGGAAUUCCUGGUGUAGCAGUGAAAUGCGUAGAUAUCAGGAGGAAUACCGAUGGCGAAGGCAGGUCUCUGGGCUGACACUGACGCUCAUGCACGAAAGCGUGGGGAGCAAACAGG
This 253-nucleotide ribosomal RNA is filed under the name uncultured bacterium. RNAcentral's name for it is "partial 16S ribosomal RNA". It matches the Rfam family "Bacterial small subunit ribosomal RNA", at positions 524 to 776 of the family's 1533-position model. The record is from RNAcentral.